Long non-coding RNA from Chelonia mydas (Green sea turtle), 3628 nucleotides. RefSeq lists it as uncharacterized. The transcript has 6 exons. NCBI's taxonomy places the organism in Eukaryota, Metazoa, Chordata, Testudines, Cheloniidae. The record is from RefSeq and is a predicted model, not a curated record.
AGUUCCUUUGUUUGUUCAGGUGCUUUCAGCAAUCUUCCUUCUUGGGCAGGGAGACAACGGAGAAGAGUCUUGAUUGACUCACUUCCCAGCCUUAAACAGGAUUUACAUAAGGUGGGAAUCCUUUGUUUCCAGUGGAAAAAUAUCAGCAGUGUCCAAGGUGGUACUCUGUACCAGGUGACAUCAUCACAUGAUCUUGCAGUGUUAAAGCAACCAUGAGACAAGGUUUAUUUGUAACAUCCACAGGAAAGGACUCCAGGAAGAUGAGAGAUCAGCAUCUUCAAAGACCCAUUGUCUUUCCUAAUGGCUUAUCCAGGCUGAUUGCAUACUGUCUGAGAGGAGGUGGGACCACAGACUUGCUCCCCUCCACACAUGUCUAUGGAGUGGAACUAGUACAGCAGCGGGAAUAAAUUGAACCCAAUGAAGAGGUAUAACUACAGGUGUGCUGAAGAAUUCCUCCCGAAGCUCCCAUAGGCUUCAUAUGGAAUAAAAGCUACAGCACUCCCAAAGUUGGAUACAGAGAUCAGCCCUAAACAAACGUCUGAAGCCAUUGCUAUAGUUGUGAUGGCAGCCAGGUACUUUAUUUAGCAAUCAAGAUGUUAUUGUCAAUAACCAAACAGACCAUGAUGAUAAUACUGCAAUGCCAAAGCUGCCAUCGGAAGCAGAGUCGCCUGAAAUGUCGUAGUGUUCUCUGAAGCUCGCCCUACUCUCGCUGUGAUUCCUGCUGUGGACGAAUGACGGAAGGAAGUACUGGGACAUUCACCAGUGUUUGAGAAACAAAUGUAUUGUUUGUUUCAAACACGAUAAAUGAACAAAAGAUCACAACAGAUUUAUGCUUACUUACAUCAGUCUGAACCAUCUGUGGGCGCUGAUUACGGAUUCUUGUAACAAACUCAAAAACAUCAACUCUCUGUUCAGCAUGCAUCAUAUCUAGUAUGGCAUCUAUCACUAUAAAUGUGCCUGUUCGACCCACGCCAGCGCUUAAAAAGAAGAGAGACACAUAAGUGAGCUAUGAAGUCCAGAUAGAUUGCUGCAGUAACCCACAGCUGGUCCAAAUUUUGUUUACAUUGGACUGAAAUCCACACUGGGUGUUACAUUUUGUAACAAUUCACUUUUGAUUUUAAUAGUGAUAUUAGUAGAACAGGUUAAAAAAUUUUGAAUUUCAAAUUUUUUUUUGACAAAAAAAGUGUGUUUUUUUUUCAGAAAGCUUUCACAAAAACAUAUUCUUUUUUUGAGGAGCAUCAGAGCUGGUUGAAAAAAUUAUGAUUUUUGAAUUUCUUUUAAAAGGAAAAAAGGUACAAUUUUUUUCCAAAAGGUUUCUCAUCUUUCAACCAGAUCUAGAUAUUAGAUCUAAGGUAAAGGAUAACACAUGCUAAAUCUGAUUAUUAAAUCUUUUUGGUUUACUAAUACUGAAGUAACAUGUUUUAUGUCAUACAUCAGUUGGCAAAUGUUAAACCUUUUUUAAGUGCUAAGGUUUUUAACAUGUCCAUGCAAAAUUAUUAUUGUUUUUAACAUGUCCUCCAGUUGCCACCAGAGGGAGCAAGAUUAUUACAAAUGAUACAAUCAUAGAUGAUUUUCAGCUCUUCCUUUCAGAGGAAAAGGGCAUGGCAUCCUGUGUUAAGCAUUAACAACUUUCUCUAACCUUCUGUUUGCUUAUUUUACCCUGUGGCUAUUAAAAUGUCACAGUAUCACCUUCUAAAAAUGUAAAUGUAUUUUUCUCCCAACAUACUCACCGAUUCAAUCUGACUUUCAUCAAAGAAAAAAUUAGUUUUAAAAUAAAGUCAGAAAUAUAGACUCCAUGAAAUGAAUGUUUUGUUCACUGAUGCGGAAUUAUGAGGAAUAUAAAAUAUUUUUUGAGAAUUUAUGAACCAUCCAUGGCUCUCUUGAGAACUAGAAAAUAUUUUUUGCUAUUAAUUAUAGUAUUUUCCACAGAAGUAAUGUCAGAAUAUUGCAAACACUCGAAGUUUUCUCAAAGACAUACAGAACAGAGAGAACAUCAUUAUUACCAUGUGUAUGGUGUGUGCGCCAUAUAUAUGUGUAUAUGUAUAUUUUUUUUCUGUUGUCUGGUUCCUGAGUAUUACAGUAUAUGGUAAGGGGUUGGAGUUUCUUUGAUUUAUUGUAUUUUGAAGUAUGCCACAUACAGUGUUCAAAUAAGUAUCCCUUAUUAUUUUAAAAUCUGUUAUAUAAUUUUAUUAUAUAAAAUAUAUGUGUGAUUAUAUAUUCUUUACACACACCCUUGCGCGUGCACACACAGUGUCCUUUUUCGUUUGAAUAGAAAUUCAUGCUGCCUGAAAAUCUUAAUCCCUUAGUACGGUACGAUAUAAAAGUAGAAUGAUUCACUUAGUACUAAUCACAAGUUCCACUUGUGGGAAUGCUGAAAUGACAAACUAAAACCAGCUGAGCUCCUCAUUGAUAAUGACAUGUUACAAAACACAUUAGCCUUAUAAUAGAGAGACCAGUGCCCAUAACCAACUUAUGUCUGAAAGAUUCCUCCACAAACAACAUUUAAUUUUCUAAUUGGCGAGGCCCUCUUCUUACUUGCCUUUUCAUCAAUUACCCUAGCUGCAUCACACUGAUCCUCUCUCCCUCAUUGGUCCUUGCUCUUUCCUGCUCCUACUCCUCUCCCACCCAUCUCCUAUCACCUUUACAAGGAUGAAAGUAAGGUGGUACAGGCUGGUACGGCGUACCUGUAAAAAGUGGCCGUCGGUACCGGCCACAUCUCACUCUCUCCUACUUCCUUGACUCAGAAUUUACCAGACAUUUUCUUGUUCUGACCUGCCUCAGAAUUCCCCCUCUCUGAACAUGGCUUGUUCAUUUUCAGUUCUCACAGUUUACCUUUCCUCCAUCCUGUCCAUCAAUCUCUGCUCUCUGAUUCUCUUGCUCCUUGAUCUCUCUCUCCUCCACAGACUCCGUGAGCUCUAUUUUCAGUUCUACCUUCUUGUGGCAGCGCUUUAACGUUGUUGCCCCUUUUGCCCCCCCCCAGGCAGCCGAUGGGGGUGGGGGGGGGGCAAAAGGAGCAGCUGCCCCAGGGCCGGCGACUUAAAAGGGCCCGAGGCUCCAGCCGCCACCGCUGCUACUGUGGCAGCGACCAGAGCCCUGAGCCCUUUAAAUGGCUGCUGGAGCCCUGGGCAGCGUGGGCCAGGCAGUGCAGAUGGGCUAGCUGGGGGAUGCUGACCCCCCCCAGCCCCUCCCCUUCCACCGAGGCCCCGCCCCUUGGGGGGGAAGAGCCAGCCCCCGUACCGGUAAGAGUUCAAUUUUACUUUCGCUCCUCCACCUUUACCACCAAGUGGUUAUCUACUGACAGAGUGGCUUCCACAUUUAUAACUACGUUUACCUCCCCUACCUCUGACUUCCUUCUGUUAAUAUUUCAGCUCCACCUUUGGGCUCCCUCCACAUCUCACUCUCUCCUACUUCCUUGACUCAGAAUUUACCAGACAUUUUCUUGUUCUGACCUGUCUCAGAAUUCCCCCUCUCUGAACCUGGCUUGUUCAUUUUCAGUUCUCACAGUUUGCCUUUCCUCCAUCCUGUCCAUCAAUCUCUGCUCUCUGAUUCUCUUGCUCCUUGAUCUCUCUCUCCUCCACAGACUCCGUGAGCUCUAUUUUCAGUUCUACCUUCUUUCUCUAAUAUUAUU